This is a long non-coding RNA of Uranotaenia lowii, 2767 nucleotides long. RefSeq lists it as uncharacterized. The transcript has 4 exons. Lineage: Eukaryota; Metazoa; Arthropoda; Insecta; Diptera; Culicidae. The record is from RefSeq and is a predicted model, not a curated record.
UUUUAACGCGCGCCAUUUUCGCGAACUUUUUUGUUUUGAUGAAAAUUAGAAAGAAUAAAAUUUUCUUCAACACGCUUCAACGGAUUCGAGUGUUUGCUCUCGCGAAUCGUUCAAAUACAGUGGAUACAAGAUUCCCUAUCCGAAGAGCACUAUCACCCAAUAUCCUCUAUCGAUUCUAUCCGCUAACAGUGGUGCUGAGGGCCUGUGAUGAAUCUUCCGACUUUCCGGAUAAGCAGCGGUUGCCAUCAUAGAAGUUUUCCCCCGGAAAUCCCUCCAGCAUUCGCAGCAACAGCAGAAGCUGUUGGAACAUGCUGCGAUGAUGGUGGUUCCCGGGCCCUCGACAUCGACGAUAUAGGAUCUAAAGAGUUUACAGCAUCUGGAACUCGAGGGAGGUACCUCUGGUUCAUUUGCAGUUUCUGCUACCGACUGCUAAUCCCAAUCGUUACAAGCUACUUCCCGAUGGCACUGAAAUGGACAACAUUGUUUAUUCGUUCAUGCAUGGCGACUUUUGAUUCGUUCGAAUACUUCACCCAGCUCUCGGAUGAAAUUUUGGUGGACUAUGCUUUCUUUGCGUUGGUCUAUACCAGAAUACUGGAGGCUGUGAUUCCGAUCGGCGCAUGAGCACCUCGAUCAACGUUCAAGAUCCGAUUUCGUGGGCAGCGGAAACCGAUGGAGAUGCAAGUCAUCCGUCGGAAGCGUUCAAAUGCUGAGCAUUGUGGUCCGCGACAUGGGUGAUAGGGAUGAUCUUCAAAUGGAACAAGUAUUCGGUUCAUUCUGCGCACAGCAUCGUGAAGAGCUGACGAGUCACCAAGUUCGUCGGAUCACUUGAAAAGGCGUCAAUUCCCGAAGUUCUUCACUUCUCGUACCCGUGACAACUUCGAGAAGAUAGAAUCGUCGUCAUUUGAAAACACGCGUGUGCCUUCCAAUGAGAGCUGACUUGUACUUACGAACUGGAAGCUUUGUCAACGGUCAAUCGAAAGAUGUAUUCAUACCUGGGCCGUUCUAAGGUUCUCGAAGAUCAGGAAGUUAUCGUUUCUUCAUCCGAUGUAUCUUUCGCCAUACGGAUUUGAUAACGAAAGAAGCCUCGUGUGAAUGUGUUCUGCUGGAGGCGACGGGCGAACUGGAAGUUGCCUUCUCACAUUCACAGGCUAAACGGAUAGAUUAUACCCAUAUGUCCCUCAACUUAGUUCCGACCGUCAUUAUGGAUCCUGCUAAGAACGAGGAAUAAUUAAUAAUUAGUUCGAUCAAUGGUUGCUUGGUUGGUGGUUGCUCGAACAACAAAAGACCUGAAUCUUCCAGCACAACCUGCCAAAAUACUCGGAAUAUGAAUAUAACUGUAAAAUAAAAUUAUUUAGAAUUCUCUUUAUUAAUCAAAGGUUAUUUCUUGUUUUAAGGAAUAAUAUUCUUGAUUAGUCGUGCUUUUAAAUAAAAUAUCAUCAAGUGUAUUCGAAAGUAUAACUAAUCAUGAAUAAAAUUCCUGGAAACGAGAAAUAUCUUUAGCAAACUGAUCCAAUCAAUAUAAACAUAAAUGAUUCAUGGUAAACCAUGAAAUUUCAUGGUACAAACAAUGAUUAUGUACCAUAGAAAAACCUUGACUUUCAUCUUCUUUACAACAAUGAAAAUAAACGGAUUUUCAUCGUUUUACCAUGAAAAAGUGGAAGCUGAUUUCACCAUGAACUUCAUAUUUUUGAGCUUCCGAAUGUAUGGGAAAUCGCCAUUUUUUUCAUGGUCACGCUGCAUAACAAUACCCCUUUUUCAUGGUUAUUUUCGCCAAAACAGUGAAAUGUAUGGUCGGAAACUAUGAAUUCCAAUGUGCAUUCACGGUAUCGUGGACGAUAAUAAUCAUUGUGUAAACCAUAAAAUUUAUGGUUUGUGAAUAUGGAAUUCAUGGUUUUUUCAUUGUACAAUUCUAUUCGGGUUGUUUGCCGAUUUCUUUAGCAGCGUGUAUAGCUUAGUCACUCCUGGUUGUACCAAUGUGUACUUUGAUAUACUACCUAGCUAUGACAUAAGUGUUGAGAUUUGUCUCAUCGUAGCAAUCGAUGGGACAAAUAAUAACAUACACAUAAUUAAUAAACAGUUAGUAAAGUAACCAUGGGGAUGGUUUUUGUAUAGAAGACAGUUAGGGGAAGUGAAAUAAAGUACAAAACAUCCUGCUUUCCGAACAGUUUGGAUUUAGGAAAGGCCAUUCAACCAUUCAUCAACUGAUUCGGCUGAUGAAUAACAUCUGUUUCCAAGUCGACAGGGAUGGCCUUGCUAGACAUCGAAAAGGCAUUCGACAAUGUCUGGCAUGAUGGACUCAUACAAGCUUAGUAAUUUCAACUUUCCACUUCACAUCAUCAAGAUCAUCCAAAAUUACCUUCAACGAAGGUCGUUCAGAGUCUCCUUGAACGGUUGCUGUUUGGACACGUUCACCAUCCAAGCAGGAGUUCCUCAAGGUAGUCUACUGGGCCCGAUCCUAUACAAUGUCUACACAUCCGACAUUCCUCCUCUGGGCGAUGACGGAGUACUCUUCCUGUUAGCUGAUGAUACAGCAAUAACCGUCAAGGGUAGAAUUCCUCGUGAGAUCACGAACAAACUCCAAAGAUGCCUCAAUUCUUUCGUCGAAUACACCAAUACGUGGAAAAUCAAAAUAAACGCAGCCAAAACAAAAACCAUAAUGUUUCUACACCGACAAUCUCCGAAACUUAGACCUCCGCCUACAUGUACAAUGGUUAUGAAUGGCACAAGGGUCGACUAGUCCAGCGAGGUGACAUAUCUGGGAGUUCUG